RNAcentral lists this ribosomal RNA (392 nucleotides) under uncultured bacterium. RNAcentral's name for it is "partial 16S ribosomal RNA". It matches the Rfam family "Bacterial small subunit ribosomal RNA", at positions 523 to 918 of the family's 1533-position model. The record is from RNAcentral.
AUACGGAGGAUCCGAGCGUUAUCCGGAUUUAUUGGGUUUAAAGGGUGCGCAGGCGGCCAUUUAAGUCAGUGGUUAAAUCGUGGGGCUCAACCCCAUUCUGCCGUUGAUACUGGGUGGCUUGAUUGCGGUCGAGGUUGGCGGAAUUCGUUGUGUAGCGGUGAACUGCAUAGAUAUGACGAAGAACACCGAUUGCGUAGGCAGCUGACCAGACCGCAAAUGACGCUCAUGCACGAAAGUGCGGGGAUCGAACAGGAUUAGAUACCCUGGUAGUCCGCACAGUAAACGAUGAAUACUUGUUUUCGGCGAUAUAAUGUCGGAGGCAAAGCGAAAGCGAUAAGUAUUCCACCUGGGGAGUACGCCGGCAACGGUGAAACUCAAAUGAAUUGACGGGG